AAUAUCGCUUCACCUUUCCUUUACCUCUUAUUAGAAGCGUGGAAUAAUACAAUAGCUAGAUUUCCGUAUCUCAAAUUGGAUCGCGGAGUUUUAGAGUAAGCAUAGAGCGUGGUGAUGAUAAACUUCUAUUCCGUAAAGAAAUUGGUGAGAAUGGAGAAAGGGGAAGCAGCGAUGAAGAGAUAGAGGUAUAGAUAUAAGAAUAACAGUGAAUGUGAAAGCACGUUACGUUAAGAAGGAUUAUAAAAUUCGCUCUCGACGAAAUAAGAAAGGUGAAAGACAUCGAACGACAUUUCACUCGUGACACUUGCCCCGAGAAACCGAGGAGGAUGCGUCUUGCCUCCCAUUUGCCUUUGCAAAAUAUCGCACAGGAACAACGAUGUAGAGUUUAAUAUUCAACAAAUUUCCUUUCUUUAUACGUAGGACAUUGAAAUAUAAAAAUUUUAUACGUUAAUUGUACGUGCGCGAAAUGAGUUUUGAGUUAGCUUAGUAAGAAAUUCAUACUCGGCCAAAACAUACGGGAAAUCGUCUCGAACUGUCGGGGUUCGGGCGAAAAAACGCCUCGAGUGCAAAGGCAAUAUAAAUAUCGUUUAUAUUAUACGGAGAUGUAUCGUAGAAGGAUAUCGAUCGAAAACUUGGCCGAGCGAGGAUUAACGCUAGAUUUUAUGCUUAAAAAUUCUAAAUAUGCAAAUAUUAUUCUUCAAACAUUAUAUAUUGGUUUUCAAUGAUGUAAUGCAGCAAAUAUAUAUUUCUAUCCGUUUUCUCUGGAACAUUUAUAUAUUUUGCUAUUUCUAGAUGUUGUAUACCUAUUUUUACGAAAAUCAAUUUGACGGGUUAAUUUAUAUAAAUCAAUUGCGAAAUAACAGAAAUCAAAUAACAAUGAACAAGAAAAAACAAGAAAAUGACGAUUGUUUAGCAAUAAAUACAUAAUCAAACUAGUUGUUUAUAAUUAUGAUAUGAUAGAAAAUAAUCCCUUCAACGGUGAAUUUUGAAAAAUUUAUUUUCGUAAGAGAAGAUUUGAAUUUUUCAAGAUAUUUUCAAAACUUGUUCAAAAAAAUAUAUUCUUUUACAUUUAUAUUAUUAUGGGUAAGCUUUCAAAAGACAUGGAACUGAUAAAUAAAUGAAGACCAAUCUGGAUCGGAUUCUGAUAUAAA
This is a long non-coding RNA of Apis cerana (Asiatic honeybee), 1151 nucleotides long. RefSeq lists it as uncharacterized. NCBI's taxonomy places the organism in Eukaryota, Metazoa, Arthropoda, Insecta, Hymenoptera, Apidae. The record is from RefSeq and is a predicted model, not a curated record.